GACGAACGCUGGCGGCGUGCCUAAUACAUGCAAGUGGGACGCAAGGGAACACACUGUGCUUGCACACCGUGUUUUCUUGAGUCGCGAACGGGUGAGUAACGCGUAGGUAACCUGCCUAUUAGCGGGGGAUAACUAUUGGAAACGAUAGCUAAUACCGCAUAAUAUUAAUUAUUGCAUGAUAAUUGAUUGAAAGAUGCAAGCGCAUCACUAGUAGAUGGACCUGCGUUGUAUUAGCUAGUUGGUAAGGUAAGAGCUUACCAAGGCGACGAUACAUAGCCGACCUGAGAGGGUGAUCGGCCACACUGGGACUGAGACACGGCCCAGACUCCUACGGGAGGCAGCAGUAGGGAAUCUUCGGCAAUGGACGAAAGUCUGACCGAGCAACGCCGCGUGAGUGAAGAAGGUUUUCGGAUCGUAAAGCUCUGUUGUAAGUCAAGAACGUGUGUGAGAGUGGAAAGUUCACACAGUGACGGUAGCUUACCAGAAAGGGACGGCUAACUACGUGCCAGCAGCCGCGGUAAUACGUAGGUCCCGAGCGUUGUCCGGAUUUAUUGGGCGUAAAGGGAGCGCAGGCGGUCAGGAAAGUCUGGAGUAAAAGGCUAUGGCUCAACCAUAGUGUGCUCUGGAAACUGUCUGACUUGAGUGCAGAAGGGGAGAGUGGAAUUCCAUGUGUAGCGGUGAAAUGCGUAGAUAUAUGGAGGAACACCAGUGGCGAAAGCGGCUCUCUGGUCUGUCACUGACGCUGAGGCUCGAAAGCGUGGGUAGCGAACAGG
This 773-nucleotide ribosomal RNA is filed under the name uncultured Streptococcus sp. RNAcentral's name for it is "bacterial SSU rRNA". It matches the Rfam family "Bacterial small subunit ribosomal RNA", at positions 28 to 776 of the family's 1533-position model. Lineage: Bacteria; Bacillati; Bacillota; Bacilli; Lactobacillales; Streptococcaceae. The record is from RNAcentral.